GACGAACGCUGGCGGCGUGCUUAACACAUGCAAGUCGAACGGAAAGGCCCUGCUUUUGUGGGGUGCUCGAGUGGCGAACGGGUGAGUAACACGUGAGUAACCUGCCCUUGACUUUGGGAUAACUUCAGGAAACUGGGGCUAAUACCGGAUAGGAGCUCCUGCUGCAUGGUGGGGGUUGGAAAGUUUCGGCGGUUGGGGAUGGACUCGCGGCUUAUCAGCUUGUUGGUGGGGUAGUGGCUUACCAAGGCUUUGAUGGGUAGCCGGCCUGAGAGGGUGACCGGCCACAUUGGGACUGAGAUACGGCCCAGAAUCUUACGGGAGGCAGCAGUGGGGAAUAUUGCACAAUGGGCGGAAGCCUGAUGCAGCAACGCCGCGUGCGGGAUGACGGCCUUCGGGUUGUAAACCGCUUUCGCCUGUGACGAAGCGUGAGUGACGGUAAUGGGUAAAGAAGCACCGGCUAACUACGUG
This 468-nucleotide ribosomal RNA is filed under the name uncultured bacterium. Its description in RNAcentral is "partial 16S ribosomal RNA". It matches the Rfam family "Bacterial small subunit ribosomal RNA", at positions 28 to 507 of the family's 1533-position model. The record is from RNAcentral.